GAUGAACGCUGGCGGCGCGCUUAACACAUGCGAGUCGAACGGACAGGCCCUGCUUUUGUGGGGUGCUCGAGUGGCGCACGGGUGAGUAACACGUGAGUAACCCGCCCUUGCCUUUGGGCUAACUCCCGGAAACUCGGGCUAAUACCGGAUAGGAGCUCCUGCUGCACGGUGGGGGUUGGAAAUUUUCGGCGAUUGGGGAUGGACUCGCGGCUUCUCAGCUUGUUGGUGGGGUAGUGGCUUACCAAGGCUUUGACGGGUAGCCGGCCUGAGAGGGUGACCGACCACAUUGGGACUGUGGUACGGCCCGGACUGCAACGGGGGGCAGCGGUUGGAAAUAUUGCACAAUGGGCGGAAGCCUGAUGCAGCAUCGCCGCGUGCGGAAUAGCGGCCUACGGGUUGUAAACCGCUUUCGCCUGUGACGAAGCCUGGGUGACGGUAAUGGGUAAAGAGGCACCGGCUAACUACGUG
This 468-nucleotide ribosomal RNA is filed under the name uncultured bacterium. RNAcentral describes it as "partial 16S ribosomal RNA". It matches the Rfam family "Bacterial small subunit ribosomal RNA", at positions 28 to 507 of the family's 1533-position model. The record is from RNAcentral.